Molecule: unclassified non-coding RNA, 1276 nt
Filed under: Hevea brasiliensis (rubber tree)
Lineage: Eukaryota; Viridiplantae; Streptophyta; Magnoliopsida; Malpighiales; Euphorbiaceae
Source: RNAcentral
ACCACACUGGAGAUUUUAAUCAGGUUUGUCUUUGCCCUUUAUUAUGUUUGUAUAUUUUGAAGAGCAGAAAUUAUGAUGAUAUAUCUAACAAUGACUCAAAUUUUGCUAAUUUUCUAAUCCAUUGAAGAAGAAUAUCUUGUUGCUGGGAUGUUUGUUCAUAGCAAGGAUAUUUAUUGCUGAUUUGCAUAAAAAUGGAUUCAGGAUGAUAGUCAAAUAACUAAUGAAGAGCAGAAAUUAGAAGGAAUGGGGAAAGCUUAUUGCAGAUGGUUGGAUAUUGCAGUUGCCUGAUCACUGAUGCCUGGCUUCAUUUAAACCUGCUGAGUUUGGCUUCAGAAGAUGUGGGAGCAACUGUGACUUAUAAUAUAAAUAAAUCAUUGUUUAAUGUAAAAGGAUUAGAUUGUCAUUCUACUCAUGACAAUUUGCUAGCAUAUUUUGAGUUGUGUUAAUCUUAGGCACAUCAUGUAUGUCUUGAUAAGGUGAACCACUAUAAAAUACAUCAGCCAUAUUACUAACAUAACCACCUAAAAAAUAACAGCUCUGCUUUCAUUGGGAUGAGAAAUUUUUUUUUUCAGAAUUCUAAGUUCCUUUAUGUUGUAUUCUAAUAUCAAUACUUGUAUGCAUUACCAUAUUUUUCCUAUAGCUACUUUUUACUUUUGUGGUGAACAGUGAACUGUAAUCAGAUAGGGGAGAAAAUCCUCCCAUUGUGUUUUAGUCUCCUUUAGCAAUCUUAAGGCCAAUUGCUUUACUAUCCUUUGAAUUAAUUACAUGCCACAACUUUAUGCAUAUUGUCUACUUUAUCUAUUUAUGUAUGGCUAUAUGCUUUGCCUGAGUUUACUUUCCUUUCGCAAUUAGACAACCAAUUUCUUUACUGUCCUUAAGAAUUAAUUACCCGCCACAACUUUAUGCAUGUUGUAUACUUUAUCUAUGUGUAUAUGUUUCCCCUUAGUGCAGCAUGUUUCUUCCUCUUCUUCUUUUAAAUAAGAUACUUGAAGAUUUCUUGCUUUUUUUCCUCUUUAUAUUAAAGUUAAAAUAAAAAAAAAUUUUAAGUGCAAUCAAGGACAAGAAGCAGUUUUCACGUGAGGUAUAAGUUUAUAAAUCAAAGGCAACUUCUUACAAAUAGAGAUUAAAUUUACUUAAUUUGAAGUAUUACAUUAAAAGAUUCAAAAGUGUCAGCCAGAUAUUGUCAUGUUUUAUAUUUGACAUGAAUUAUUAAAAGUUGUUUCUCAGUACACUAACUUCAUUCACUUUAUGUAGGCAACCAUUUAUCAGCAAAAAG